CUUUUCAUUCCCGUUGUCAUGGAGGUAGGCUCUCUAGGAAUCUGGGAGUAGUAGCGGGGGGGGCAAGAGCAAAUAAAGAGCUCGAGCUUCUGUGGUCUCUGGGGAGAUGUUCCCGGGAAGCCUGGCUAGAGGGCGGAGGGCAGCUGUUGAGAUGGCGUGGCUUCCCGGCUCCUGCGCCCGCGUGGCUUUCGCGGCGGUCGCUGCGGCCCGGCAUUGGACAGCCUGGCAGGGCAGCGCGGGGCCGAAUCUGGCUGCCGUGGCAGAGGCUCAUGGAUCACUCCUUUGUGGUAGGGCCACAUCUGCCAGAGCCUGGAGUCUGCGAAGGCCGGGACCCGGUUCCCCGGCCCGCCGUGGGGAGUGUGCAAACCCGAGAGAACUGGGUUGCAAAUUCGUGAAGAAUCAGCAGCAUGUUUGGCAGCUGAGUAUUGGAGCCAGGAGCCUGCCAUGAGGUUUUGAGAACAGGGUGCUGUUUUAGAGCUGGCAGCAGCAUCUCAGCCCAAGAGAAGGUAAGCCUUGAGCUGGCCAAUGAUCCCCCAACCCCAUAGUGGAAUGAAUAAACAGCUGA
This 565-nucleotide non-coding RNA is filed under the name Pongo abelii (Sumatran orangutan). The record is from RNAcentral. Lineage: Eukaryota; Metazoa; Chordata; Mammalia; Primates; Hominidae.